RNAcentral lists this ribosomal RNA (420 nucleotides) under Triticum aestivum (bread wheat). RNAcentral describes it as "partial small subunit ribosomal RNA". The record is from RNAcentral. Lineage: Eukaryota; Viridiplantae; Streptophyta; Magnoliopsida; Poales; Poaceae.
AUGACGACAGCAGUGAGAAUUCUUACCAGUAUGCCGACUCAGCUUCAGACGCCGACAUCGUCAAGGCCAGUUGCUAGAGCUAGGGUUAGGGUUAGGGCGCCGAUCCCUGCUACCACGGAUGACUCCGAUUUCGUGGGCCCUGAAAUUGACAUCGUUGUUUUGUGCCACGAACAUGGGGAACCGGCAGAGAGGCAUGUUGCUUUCGAAGGUAUUCACACUGGAAGGAGAUUUCUUGCUUGUGCUGAGAAGUUAGAGGAUCUGGCUAAGAGAAUAUAUCUGCUGUUAGAGGGUAGGAACUUUGGACUAGUUGAAUGGAUUGAUCCAGCUUGGCCAACUACAAUGGAGAAUGCAUUGGCCAUGUUAUGGGAGAUGUAUGAAGAGUGCAAGAGAAACAAGAUUGAGGACAAUCUAAAUAAGUAG